CGGGGCGUAGUAUACCGGUAGUACAUCUGCUUUGGGAGCAGACAGACCGAGUUCGAUUCUCGGCGCCCCGACCA
Molecule: transfer RNA, 74 nt
Filed under: Candidatus Adlerbacteria bacterium RIFCSPHIGHO2_02_FULL_54_18
Lineage: Bacteria; Candidatus Adleribacteriota
Also listed under: 1 other name
Description: tRNA-Pro
Rfam family: tRNA
About the family: Transfer RNA (tRNA) molecules are approximately 80 nucleotides in length. Their secondary structure includes four short double-helical elements and three loops (D, anti-codon, and T loops). Further hydrogen bonds mediate the characteristic L-shaped molecular structure. tRNAs have two regions of fundamental functional importance: the anti-codon, which is responsible for specific mRNA codon recognition, and the 3' end, to which the tRNAs corresponding amino acid is attached (by aminoacyl-tRNA synthetases). tRNAs cope with the degeneracy of the genetic code in two manners: having more than one tRNA (with a specific anti-codon) for a particular amino acid; and 'wobble' base-pairing, i.e. permitting non-standard base-pairing at the 3rd anti-codon position.
Source: RNAcentral